Non-coding RNA from Monodelphis domestica (gray short-tailed opossum), 11685 nucleotides. NCBI's taxonomy places the organism in Eukaryota, Metazoa, Chordata, Mammalia, Didelphimorphia, Didelphidae. The record is from RefSeq and is a predicted model, not a curated record.
GGAAAGGUCACACACAGACUCACUGGUAUAAGCAGGCCUGCUGACUUGUAGAUAUGAUCCAUACCACUAUUAUACCAUGCUGCCUUGUCAUUAAAUUCUUUUCUACAAUUUCCUCCUAGAAUUGGCUAGGCUAAGUACUGUCUCCCAUCUUUAUAGAAAGCUUUUACCACAGAGAACACCUUGUACAUGCUGUUCACUAGUGUAAUUGCAGUCACUAUAUAUGUAACCAGAUAUGGGCAGAGAGCAGGUCUUCUUUGUUGCUCCCAUUGAACACAAUGAGUAGGAGCUCAAUAAAUAUUUCAUGGGAUCAUAGGAUUUAUUUGUUGAAUGAAUGAAUUUGUGAAUUAAUAUAUAGCCCUCUGGGUAGCUAGGUAGUACAGUGGAUAGAGCACUGUGCAUGGAAUCAGAAAGAUUCAUCUUCAUAAGUUCAAAUCUAGCAUCAAGAUACUUAUAAACUGUGCAACUAGGCAAGAGUCUUAAACCCUGUUUGCCUCAGUUUCCUCAUUUGUAAAAUGAGAAGGAAAUGGCAAACCACCCCUGUAUCUUUGCCUAGAAAACCCUAAAUGGAGUCACAGAGAGUCAGACACAACUGAAAAAUGAUUGAACAACAAAAAUAGUUUCCUGAAUGCAUAUAGAAAGCUUACUUUCUUCCUCUAAAGAGACACAAAAUCUAAAGUCAUAGAUAAUCUCAGUUAUCUACAUGUGGACUAUUAGUGGUGAAUAUUUAAUACCAAAUUGGCUUUUCCUUGUCAUUCAGUGAAUUUCUAAGGAAGCUCCUCUUUUUAUUAGUUGGUUUAUAACAAAAAGAUUGAAAAUUAAUUAAAAGAUUUGCUUAAGCAAAAACUAUUUAGGAAGGUAAUUCUGCUGUGAAAAUAACCUUCCCUAUAAACAUAUUUCAGGUACCUUUUCUAUUUUAUACUAUUUGGGAUUAUCCAUGGCACUUUUCCAUUUGUAGGAAUAAUCAAGAAUCAACUGUCACUUUUCUACAUUAUUUUUGCAGUUAAAAUAUGGAAGUUAAAACACAACAGAUGGAAACAAGGUACUUGACAGAGUUAAAUGUGGGUUGCUCGCUUCUUCUUGUAUUUAUUCUACUCUCUUUAAAGCUAAUUUGUCUAGAAUUCUAUUAGUCAGAAUCCCAUCAAUCAGCACUUCUGCCUUUCUAGAAUCAAUAAUUAUUGAUGUCUCAGAUGAUGACCGUGAGAGAUUGCAAUAUCUUCCAAUGGCUUCUGAAUCAUCAAAGAAAAAUUAAAUUAUAUUUAGCAUAGUCUUCAUAUUACAUGUAUUUCUUUAUAUUCCAAUUCUUUGAAGACUAGCAAUCCAUGUAUAAGGUUAACUGGAAUACUUAAAGGAUUGGAACUCCCAUUCUCUAGUUAUCCCAGAUGACAGGGUUUAUUGUGUCAUGUGUUGCUAAAUAACAACAACAACAACAAAAAGACCAUUCCUACUUAGUUCAGGGCCUAGACUCUAGGUUGUCGAUUUAAGACUUUGCUAAUUAAAUAAUUGUUCACUGUAAAAACUCAUCCAGAUUCCAACCCUAUAAAUCAUUUGACAUAACUGAUAAUGAAAAUGAACACCAUUUUGGAUUUAAUGGAUGCUGGGGAGGCUUCUUCUUUAUACAUGAUGAUUUGAUUUUCCCUACUAGCAGUAAAAGACUUUCUUUUUAAAGGAAGCAAAACUUUUCAAGGGUCUUUUCUCCCUCCCAAUAUAUGCACACACACAUGUGUGUGCAAUAUAAUGAAGGCCUGAGGGACAAUAUUAGCACUUCUAAAAAAGAGUACCAGGAAUUUUAGUUUUUACUCUGGCAACUGGAGGCUGAGGAGAGCUCUCCUUUCAUGUUUGUUUUCAGUACAUAAAAUGAUUGAAAUCAAUUUUCCAGAGAGGGAAAGGGAAAGAGUGAUAAAGAAAUGGAAAAUGUUGCAGAAUUUUCAUUUGCUUCAUCAUCUGACCCAUGAGUCAAGCGAGCUGCUAGAAGUGUCAUAUUCACAGAGGAGACGAGUCCUCUAAUAUUUUUCACUGGGGUUGAAGAGGACCAAAAUGAGUUAGGAGCUCCUUGCAGAUAUUUCUGCUCUCCCUCCCCAUCCUCUAGGAGGGAGCCAGAUAGUAAGCUGGGUCAUCUUCCCAAAGGUGCAGCAGGGGUCCUUGUUGACCUGCUGAAUCAGAUCUGUAGAUUGUGCGUGAGUGUAUGAAGAAGUAUUAGAGCCAAUGGUCAUAUGCUACCGAAGGAUGAUGCAAUACUCAAAGUUCUCUACACUCAACAGUGGAGCAAAGUCUCGAAGGGAGCAUUGGGAAAAAACCUUUUCAGUGGGGCUUUGGAAGCACAUGAGAACCCACACACACAGGGAUCUGGCUUACCAUUUCUAUGGCACCCUAACCUCAGAUCCUGAGCAUUAUUUUAUUUUAAUAACAAAGUUCCACAUAAGUUUUCCCAAGUUUGUGUGAUUCCUGUUGUCUCCCUCCCUUCUUGCUUCCCCUCUCCCAGAGUUGACAAGCAAUUCUAUCUGGGCAACAUAUUUCCAUAUUAUUCCUUUUUGUGAGUGAAUAAUCUUAUAAAAUGAAAACUCCAAAUCAUAGGCUCAAAUGAACAAGUGCUUUUCUUCUGUGUUUCCGCUCCCACAGUUCUUUCUCUGGAUGUGGAUAGCAUCUUUCUCAUAAGUCCCUCAGAAUUGUCCUGGAUUGCAUUGCUGUUAGUAGAGAAGUCUAUUACAUUUGAUCAUUCCACAGUAUGUCAGUUACUGCACCAUCUACUUUUAAGAUGACAUUUUUAAAGAAGAAAUUAGGCUAGGGAAGGGUGCUUAGAGAAUGUACAUGUAUAUGUUAGAGGCAGUGAAAUUCAAUUUAAGUCAACAAUUAGAUUGCUUUAUUAAACACUUCCAGGCCCCUGCUAAAUUCUGGAAAAACAAAAACAAACAAGCAAAAAACAGAACAGUCCUUGGCCUCAAGGAGUUGCCAUUCAAUUUAUUUUUUUUCCUUUUAUUUGGCAUUAAAUGUUUUCACUGAAUAGCCAAAUGACCAUGCAGUUUGGGGGUUAAGGUAUGUGAGAGAGAGAAACUCAGGAAGAAAACAGUAGACUAAAUGUAGUUCUUUUAUACAAUUUUGCUUCAGGAUGCCAGAUUUAAAUUUGAUGGCAUCAUGGUUAAAUUGAUGUGAUUGAGAAGUAGGGAAAGAAAAUUGUACAGAGGAGGAAAAUACAUAGAGUCCACGUACUAGGGAGAAGUAUUAGGUACUGCCUUUUAUAAAAGGAGUAAUUUCUCCCUCUUUUCCUUGAGGACAGUGAAUGGGGCUUAAUAAACAGGAGAAAAAAACAAAUGGACAGAAAAGAUUUUUCCAUUUGGCUAUAGUGAGAGUCAUUUGGAGUUUUAUUGACAAGAGUGUCAAGGUAGUGGUACAGAUGAAUAUGAGUGCAUGGAAGAUGAGAUGCGUUAAACGGGAUAACCAAUUUCAGGUGUGGAAAACAGAUUAUGGGAUGUCUCCCACUGUGGGAUUCUUUAUUACCUGAUAUUCCCAUCACUAGCAUCCCUUUUCAAGGAAGUCUUGCUGUCUCACAAAUACCACAUUUAUUCCUGCUUUACUAUCUUGAUUUAUGUGGUUUUCUUCAUCUGUAAUAUUCCCUCUUCCAAUCUAUCCUUCAAACCUCAGAGCACACUUACCUUUUUCAUGAAGUUAUCACUUAGGAGCCAGCAUUCAUUGGACAAUCAGUCAACAAACAUUAAUUAAAUGUUAUAUGCUAAGCUCUGGGGAUACUGAGUCAAACUGAAGCAAUCCCUUCCCUCAAGGAGCUUACCUUCAAAUGGGCUAACAGAUCCUUAUUUAAAGGUACAGAGACUAUAUACCUAAAAAGUACAAGGUAGUUUGGAGAAAGAAGACACUGUUUCUAAGGCAUCCUAACCUCGAGAUUUUAAUAUUUCUUUCAGGCUAUGUUGCCAAACUAUCAGGGCUUCCAUGUUCAAUUGAAGGAAAUGGUUGUUGUUGAGAUGUUUUCAGUCUUGUACAAGUUUGUGGCCCCAUUUAGGGUGUCCUUGGCAAAGAUACUUGAGUAUCUUUCCAUUUCCAUUUCCAUUUUCAGCUCACUUUACAGAUAAGGAAACUGAAUCAAGAAGAGUUAAGUGCACUUGCCAGGGUCAAAUACCUCUACCCAUGAAGAUGAGUCUUUCUGAUUCCAAGCCCAGUGCUCUAUCCACAGGGCCACUUAGAGAGAAAUUUAAAGGCUUCAUUUCUGAACUUCAGGAAUACUCACAGAGUAUAUCAUAUAAUCAAGAUCUUAACUAUAUUCCACCUUCUAUUGUUUGGUUGAUUUCACAUGUUACUCUCAAGUCCUUAACUGAAUUAUAAACUCCUUAUGGGCAGGGAUCUAUCGUGUACAUCCUAUCCUCUGGUUUUUCUGUAUUUCCCAUAGUAUCUAACAUAGGGCUCCUAUAAAGUACUCCAAAAAUGCAAGUUAAUUAAUUGAUUGAUGGUUUAGGAGAGUCCUGCGAAGUUAGAGCUCUCCAAGAAUGAUAUAAGGAGCCAAAUGAUUACAAAACAUUCUGUAAUGUAUCCACAAACUACACACCCUCUUCACCUUAUCCCUUAAGUGCUACUUGGCUGGAAAUAAUAAGCAUAUCCUGUUUUAUGAGAAGAGAAGUUUCGAGCUAAGGCCAAAGGAGUAAAUAUGAGAUUGUAGAAUCAUAGGAUGUUGAGAUCAUAGGAAUUAGAGCUGGAAGGGGCCUUAGGAAUCAUCUAAUCCAACCCUCUCAUUUUGCAGAUGAGAAAAUGGGCCCAGGGAACUAAAGGGUCUUGUCCAAAGUGAAAUGACUUUGAGUUAGGAAAUAGCAGAUAGGAAGAGCUUCCUUAAUUCUCCAGAGGCCCAGAGAGCCCAGCUCAGUCUUGGCAGCAGGGUGGACUAGUUAGCCAACCAGUGAUCCUAAGGGUUAAGGUGGGGGAGCUACUGACAGAAAUGUAAACAAAACCAGGAAAGUCUAGAAGGAAUUAUUUCAUGCCACACUAAUUGAAUAAUGUGAGAUUAUGGACCUGUCAAUUACCUCAUCUGGACACCAGAUUCUCAUGUUGUGUUGAAGAAUGGGCUGUAAGUAAGCUUUUCUAAAGAGCAGAAAGGGGAGCGGGGAAGGAAAGAAUCCCAGCUCUCAUUCUUGAUCUUUUUGGUUGGUCAUAGUGGAAAAUUAACCAAGGCAGGUACCAUUGGUAACAAGGAUGACAGAAUUGUCUUUUGCACACUCUAUUCUAGUUCAUUACAAUCUGCCAUUUACUUUAUAUCAAGGAUUAAGUUGAUCAAAUUGCUUCCUGGCAUGAGAAUUAGCUCAGUGGGAAUGGCACAUGGGGCAGAUAUGGGUUGUUAGUGGGAGAGAGGAGGAUGAGAGGUUUGAAGCACUGAGCUGCCUGCUGUCUACCUAGAUCCAGGUGAAGUAUUAUGAUAGGGAGACCUGGACAACCAAAGAUAGACAUGGAGGUACCAAGCACAUUGACCAAGGAGGUAUCAUAGAAGAACUAAUAAAACAGAGUUUGUUGAUUCACAAUUGGGCUCCAUAUUUGGGGACUACAUAUACAGUGUUUCUUUAAAAGAAACAUUUAACUAUCAGAUGAUAGUAAUAGCCACUCAUUGCUGAGUUCAUUCUAUCAUUUUCAAUAUGCUUCACUGAGGUGAAAGCAUUAAGUAUGUGUUGCACUCUCUGUGGUUAAUAGAAGGUUCCAGAUCCAUGUUGGUGAAUCUAUGGUACAUGUGCCAGAAGGGGCUGCUCCCCUCCUCCUCUCCACAAAUGCUUAAGAACAUUUUUCUCAUCACCUGCCCCUCUGUCCAGUAGUCCAAUGGGAGCGCUUCCUCCCUCCCCCAUCUGGGGUAAGGAGGGCGGCUCACAUGCAGCAUGAGGGUUGCAGUUUGGGCACUCAGUCUCUAAAAGGUUCACCAUAACUGUCCUAGAUCUUCUAUCCCUCAUCUUUGCUUCUCAUAUUGGGUAGAACCACUCAUUAUCUCAGAGUGUAUGAAAUUUGUGGCUGUUUCCAAUUAGUACUAAGAAAAAAUAGCCUGUAAUAGACAAUUGAGAACAAUCCUCAAAGCUAGGAAGAUUUAGGUUUAGUUCUGCUUUCUGAAAUAUACUUUCUAUAUGUAUUAUGACCUUGCACAUGUAAUUUAAAUCUCUCAGAGUUCUAGACAACUCUCUAAAUUGCAAAAGAAGUGGUAAUCUGUUUUGGUAGCAGGAGUACUUCACCUGGGAGUUCCCUGUAUCAGUGAAAUCAUAGCUCUAGUGUCUUUCCUUAUCUAAGCCCUUUACUCUCCCACCUCCAACCCCCACUAGAAAAUCUGACUCUUUUUGAAUUCGCUUUAUCUAAAAGAAUGCUAGUCAAGUGACCUUGAAAUGAGAGAGUUGGUUACCCACAGAAACAGACACAUUUGCUGGAAUAUGUAUUUGUUGCUAAUUAGCCUAGAGACAAUAGGUCAAUAAACAAUGUUGGGGCAUCUGGGUAGCUCAGUGGACAGACUAGAGGUACUGGGUUCAAAUCUGACCUCAGACACUUCCUAGCUGUAUGGCCCCAGUAAAUAACUUAACCAAUUGCCUAUCCUUUACUGCUCUCCUGGUUUGAAAUCAAUAUCACUAUUGAGUCUAAGACAGAAGGUAAGGUUCAUAAAUUAGAAACAAAUAGUGCUUAAUAACCAAAGGGCACAAUGCAUACUCAACUAUAUAAGCACCUACUAAGUAACUGAAAAGCCCAUCACUCCCUUGGACCUGGACUCCAGACAUAGGAUGAAUCUGGUCCGUGGAAUUCUACGAGAUUUAUAGUUUAGGUGCUCCCUGGAGCAGACAAAAGGUGUAAAAUAAUAGAGUUACUUCAAGUUAUUUGACUCAUAUUUCCUUUGAGACUGGUCAUUAGGCCAGUCAAAGUUAAGCUUUUACUAUGUGCCAGGCAUUGUACUAAGCUCUGGAUGCAGCCAAGUGUUUAGUGUAGCAAAGAGAACUCUGAAAUCAAGCUUUCACCUCCUCUAAACAUGGCAGCUGGAAUAGAAGAUCUGGUGAAUCCUGGGACUAAGACUGCAACUUCCAACGUGGUCUUGCCACAGCGUAACCAUCAUGGAGCAGUCAGUGGAAUUAAGCAACGACUCCGUUCUUGCUUCCCUGUCAUGUGUCCCUGUAUCCCUUUGGUUGUGACCUUGACCAUCCUUCUCCACUGCCAUUUUAGGGCUGACUUCCUCUCUUGCUUCCCCAGUCUAAAGCCCCUUUGGCUUCUCACAGUGACAUGGGGAUAAGGAGGAGGAAGGGGGAAUUGCAGUUUGAGGCUCACCAGCAGACUACAAAAAUGAACAGGGGACCAUAGCUUCAGAAGCAGCUAGGUCAGGCAAUAGAUAGAGUGUAGGGCCUCAAGUCAGGGAGAUGCGUAUUCAAAUCCCACCUCAGACACAUACUAACUGGGCAACUCUGAGCAAGUCAUUUAACCCUCUCGCUUCAGUUUCCUCAUCUGUCAAAUGAGCUGGAGAAGGAAAUGGCCAACCAUCAUUCCAAUAUCUUUGCCCAAAAGAACUCCAAAUGGGGUCACAAAGAGUCAGAUUAGAGCUAGAAAAGACCUGAGAGAGAAUCCAGUCCAGGGGCCUUAACUUGAGGUCCAUGAACUUGGUUUUUAAAAACAUUUUGAUCAUUAUAUUUUGACAUCAUUGGUUUCCUUUGUAAUCCUCUGUUUUUUAUUUCGUGGAUUUAAAAUAAUUAUUCUGAGAAAGGGAUCCAUGACACAAAGAAGAUUAAGAGCUCCUGAUUCUAGUCUAACCCCUUCAUCUUAGAAAUGAGCUCAGAAACAUUAAAUAAUUGGCUUAAGGUUAUCCAGGUAUGUUUCAAACUCGGGUCCUCUGCCUCCAAAUCCAGCCAUUGUACCAUGCUGCUUCUAUUUUUUAUUGUGUAAGAAUUAUCUAAAGGUCACAUCUUUAAUUCUUGUCCCUCCCCAUCUCAAAGAAAGAAAGAAAUUGUUUCCAAAGUUUUCAUUGGUUUCUAGAGGAAAACAGUCCAGUUUUUGACAGACAGUAUUUAGGUUAGAGGCGGAUUCUUGGAAGUCUCUAAAACCAUUGAGGCAAAGACAGAGGUUUGGCCUUCUCUUUCAGUGUACUAUAUGUUUUCUUCCUGGUCAGAAACAUUAAUAGCAUUUUCCCAGAUGUUUCAGUCUAUAUGGAAAUCCCCUUAAGCAAUUUCAAUAGUCCACUUGGAUGCCAAUCCUUUGCCAGGAUUCAAGUUAAUAUGGAAAAUGGGCCCUUCAAAAGUGAAUUUUACCCCUCUGAAUUGUCCCUGCUCUCAUCCUCUUGAGCACGUAGACAUAAUUCGAGUAUUCAUCUUUCUAUCUUGAAAUUUAAAUUAUUGGGAGAGCAUAGCUCAGUACUCUGACACUAAUUGUACUUGUCACAUGCAAUUUUUUGAUAUAGAAGGACUAAUAUUGGGGAAUCUGUAUCAUAUAUUCUAUUCUGUCUUCCAUCUUAAACCUAGGGCUUUGCCUGCUGACUCUAGUUUUUCCCCAGCUUUUUAUUCAACGCAGCCCAACUCCUCCCUGCCAGCUUCUGUUUUUACUUAACCUGAGGUCAAGGCUCUUUAGGGUGAGGAACAAUGAAAAAGGAAAUUAUCGAGAUGGUUUUGAGCUAGAAAGUAGUAGAAACUGGUUGUGUCCUGAAUUUCUGGAAAUCUGUGCAGUUCUUUUCUUUCUAGGAAGCUAAAAAAGCAUCGCGACGUAGACGUUCCUCUUCUAGUUACUCCCCAAGAGUUAGUCAGAGGGUAGUUUCAAAAUAAUUUGAUCUGGGAAUAAGUGAUUAGCAUUUAACUUCUUUAAUGGCCAAUUAUUCACCAGCUAUGCCAGUGAGUAAAUCAUUAGUCAUCAUCUCUUCUGAAGAGUAAAUGUUUACUUGAGUAAAACAGUUAUUUGUAUUCGGUUUUAACUUGUGGAAAAAGAAUGGAGGGAGCACUUUCUUGGUCAGGUGUGAGUUGGUUGAAGGAUGUUCAAAAAAGACUUGGUUGAAUUCAGAUGAUGUGCGGUGUGCAGAGAUCUGCCUAGCCCAACUCUGUUCUGGACCCUUGUUCACUUCAGAUCCGGCUGCCCUAAAUUCUGCUUUCUCAAACUAAAUAAAUCAAAUCAACUCCUUAGUAAUAGGUCGGUGCCAGUCUUCUGUUUACCGGGAAGUUGCUUGUUUCUAGGCAAUGGGGAUGCAAGUCAGUGCUCGAACAAAACCACCAUACUUAACUGCCUUUUCUUUGAAAAUGUUUUGUAAUUGGUCUUAAUUGAGAUGGAAGAAUGUUGGAGUUACCUAGACUGGUAGAAGCCUAGAACAUGAAGAGAUUUGGCAGUGGUCCAUUUCUGGGUCUGCUUUGCCAACAAUUUUUUUUAACGUACCAUAUUGUAGGCAAAGUCUAGGUUGACUGAUAGCCAGGUGGCCCAGUGGACAGAGCACUGAACCUAGAAUUAGGAAGACCUGAGUUCAAAUAUGACUUCAUACACUCCCUAGCUGCAUGACCCUAUGCAAGUUUCUUCACUUCUCUCUGCCUCAGUUUCCUCAUCUGUAAAGUGAGAAUAGCAGUAACACCUACCUUCCAGGAUUGUUGGGAGGAUAAAAUGAGAUAAUAUUUGUAAGAAUGCUUCGUAAACCUUAAAGUGCUAUCUAAGUGCUUGAUAUUAGCAUUAAUAGAGAGUCCAUAUACAUAUAUGUGUGCACACAUAGCAAACAGCAUCUGGCAUGAAGACUCCAUUAAGAGAGCCGGAUAAUAGCUACCAUUUCUGGUCCUGUCAGUUCAAACGAGUAAAUUUUAAUCAACAGACCGGAAGCCAAUUUAGAAGCUGAAAUGUGAGCCGAGGGCCAGCCAAAGGUCAGUCCCCUUCGCCAUGGUACUAAUGGCCCAGGUGUGGACGAACCACCAGCCACCAACGGAGAACCUUGGCUUGGAGCUGGACUGUUAGAUCAAAGAUGUUUCCGCUGGGAUCCUUAUGAGAGGGAGCUGACUCCAGGGCUGCAGAGAGCAGCGUUUCCACUGGAAAAUGGGAAGCUUUGCUUCCAGAUCCUCAGAUCCUCAUUUCCUAAGAAGGUUCCUGCUCAGCAAAUGGUAGUGAAGGCAGAGAAAUGAGGACAAGCAGACAUGUCAAGGCUGUUGAUCUACACUGAGCUCUUCUGGGACAAUUACCAGAUGAACUUAGCAACAGUGAUCCUCGGAGUUACUCCUGUGUGUUUAAAUCAAGAUCAACUACUUCCCUCCUUGCACAACCGAAAAGGACUCCAGAAGACGUGCUGGCAAGGUGCCAGGCGCAGCCUUAGACAAAACAUACCGGACCUUGAGUUUAUGGGUUUCACCAUUCUAGAACAGACAAAGUCAUUUUAGAGUUUGGCAAAUGGAGCAAAGAGGAUCCAGAUUUCUUCUUUUCCCCCCUUUCAUCCCAGAAUCCAUUACUUCCCAUUGAUAGGCCAUAAAAGUCAUCACUGCCCAAGCAAACAUUUUACCAGAUGUUUCCCUUCUAGCCUAAUGGAGUAGAAAGAACCUUGGGCUUCAAAGGUCUGGGUGUGAGUUCCAAUUCCAUUACUUACUGAUUAGAAAGUUCCACUAGAUUUUCAAAUCCUAGUUAAUGCCAAGUAUCCACUAGUAUCCUUCCACUGAUUCCCACCCUCAAUUCUAUUGCUUUUUGUGUUUUGUUUGUUUAAACCCAUACCUUCCAUCUUAGACUCAAUACUGAGUAUUGUUUCUAAGGCAGAAGAGUGGUGAGGGCUAGCAAUGGGGGUUAAAUGACUUGCCCAGGGUCACAUAGCUAGGAAGGGUCUGAGAUUACAUUUGAACCCAGGACUUCCCACCUUUGGGCCUGGCUCUCAGUCCACUGAGCUACCCAGCUGCCCCCUCUAGUGCUUUUGCUGUUCUUUCUUUACUAAAGGUUAGUAUUCCAAAGGAUUAUCAUCCAUGACCUUUCCCACUCAGUAUUAGAUGUUGACUUCAAACAGGCACCGCACAGGAGUUUCUAUCCUGGUUUGUCAGUGGUCCUGGCACUGGGGAGUGAAGAGAGCCCCAGAAGACCUAGUUUGAAUUCUAGUCCUGUCACUUAUUAUGCCUGUGGACAAGUUCAUUUGCCUACCUCCCUCACUUUAGUUUCUUCAUCUGGGACGGGAAAGAAUUAGAUUCAGCUAUCAACAAAGCCCCUCCCUUCUGAAUCCUCUGAUUUCUCCCCAAGGACCUCAAACCUAGUUUAGGAUUCAGAGAAGAACUAGGGAAAAAAGAGGAAAUAGAGGUGAGAGGUGAGGAAUGGGAAUACCACAGACACUACCCUUUAUGACAGGCUUUCCAGCUACCCACGAUGGAGCCAUGAUAGAAGGAUUUAGUUCAAUCAAAUUCCUCAUUACAACAAGCUUUGAAAUUUUUUUUAAAAGGUCAUUUUUUUGAACCCUUAUUUUCUGUCUUGGAUUUGUAUAUCACAUAUCAAUUCCAAGGCAGAAGAGGGAUAACUAUUGGGCAAUUUGGGGUUAAAUGACUUGCCCACAGCCACACUUCUAGGAAAUGUCUGAGAUCACUUUUGAACCCAGAACCUCCUGUCUCCAGGCCCCAAUUUCUAUCUACUGAAACACCUAGCUGCCUCUUUGUUUGUCUAGCUUUUGCCCUUCUGUCUUAGAAUUAUUAAGACAGAAAGUGAGGAUUUUAAAGACAGAGAGAGUGAGCAAGAGAGGGAGAGAGAGAGGAGGAGAGAGAGAAAGAGAGGGAGGAA